Molecule: unclassified non-coding RNA, 163 nt
Filed under: uncultured fungus
Lineage: Eukaryota; Fungi
Description: sequence contains ITS1, 5.8S rRNA gene
Source: RNAcentral
CCGAGUCUAGCGCUCGCAAACCCACUGUGAACCUACCCAAGUACGUUGCUUUGGCGGGCGGCCCCGGGGGGGCCCAUCCGGCCGCUGGUGCCCGCCGGCAGCGCCAAGACCCUCUGUAUUUAUAGCGGAACUUCUCUGAGUGGCACGCUGAAGAAGCAAGUAA